This is a long non-coding RNA of Neopsephotus bourkii (Bourke's parrot), 522 nucleotides long. RefSeq lists it as uncharacterized. The transcript is spliced from 4 exons. NCBI's taxonomy places the organism in Eukaryota, Metazoa, Chordata, Aves, Psittaciformes, Psittacidae. The record is from RefSeq and is a predicted model, not a curated record.
UGUGACGCAGUUUGUCUUCCUCAGGAAAGGGCUGGGACAGUGCGAAGGGUGAGAUCGUGGUGAAAGCGGAACCAGAGGAUGAAUCCUACAUCGGGUGUCCCCAGGGCCUUGAGGCCACUGGCACUGGUGUCCCCGGCACUGGCAUCAAGGCUGAAGUCAUUGGGAAAAGUGAGGAUGAAGAUGCGGCAUAUGGACUUUACAGCUGCAGCUCCCUGGGGCAGGAUGUGACCCCUCUGGACACGGCCUGCGAUGCCAAGCCCGAGGUCAUCAUGAAGGUGGAGCCGGAGGAGCUGCACAUCGAGUGUCCCACAGGAGCUCCCGGCCACUGCAGUGGCACAGGCAUCGGUGGCAAGCGGCAUCCCAAGGAGGAGCUGGAGGAGGUGAAACCAGGGUCAUCAGAGCCGGAGCAGAGCCUGGGGGCUGCUGGGGGGGGUUCCCUGGGGCCCCGGCCCCAUGUCAGCCAAUGGACAGUGCAGCAGGCGCAGGGUGCCGUGCCUGAUGUCCGGCACAGCCCAGCAGGAC